GGAAUUAUACCUAAGUAUUAAAGGACCACUAUGAUAGAGUGUUUUACGGGGGUUAAAAUCCCCCUGAUUCCU
Molecule: transfer RNA, 72 nt
Filed under: Hippocampus sindonis (Dhiho's seahorse)
Lineage: Eukaryota; Metazoa; Chordata; Actinopteri; Syngnathiformes; Syngnathidae
Description: tRNA-Ile
Rfam family: tRNA
About the family: Transfer RNA (tRNA) molecules are approximately 80 nucleotides in length. Their secondary structure includes four short double-helical elements and three loops (D, anti-codon, and T loops).
Source: RNAcentral